GGCCCGGUCGUCUAGUGUAGGACGCCUCGUUUUCAACGGGGAGACGGUAGUUCAUAUCUAUCCCGGGCUG
This 70-nucleotide transfer RNA is filed under the name Candidatus Niyogibacteria bacterium RIFCSPLOWO2_12_FULL_41_13. RNAcentral's name for it is "tRNA-Glu". It matches the Rfam family "tRNA". From Rfam's summary of the family: Transfer RNA (tRNA) molecules are approximately 80 nucleotides in length. Their secondary structure includes four short double-helical elements and three loops (D, anti-codon, and T loops). Further hydrogen bonds mediate the characteristic L-shaped molecular structure. tRNAs have two regions of fundamental functional importance: the anti-codon, which is responsible for specific mRNA codon recognition, and the 3' end, to which the tRNAs corresponding amino acid is attached (by aminoacyl-tRNA synthetases). tRNAs cope with the degeneracy of the genetic code in two manners: having more than one tRNA (with a specific anti-codon) for a particular amino acid; and 'wobble' base-pairing, i.e. permitting non-standard base-pairing at the 3rd anti-codon position. The record is from RNAcentral. Lineage: Bacteria; Candidatus Niyogiibacteriota.